RNAcentral lists this ribosomal RNA (535 nucleotides) under uncultured bacterium. RNAcentral's name for it is "partial 16S ribosomal RNA". It matches the Rfam family "Bacterial small subunit ribosomal RNA", at positions 355 to 902 of the family's 1533-position model. The record is from RNAcentral.
UGGGGAAUAUUGCACAAUGGGCGAAAGCCUGAUGCAGCAACGCCGCGUGAGUGAUGAAGGCCUUCGGGUUGUAAAGCUCUGUCUUUUGGGACGAUAAUGACGGUACCAAAGGAGGAAGCCACGGCUAACUACGUGCCAGCAGCCGCGGUAAUACGUAGGUGGCAAGCGUUGUCCGGAUUUACUGGGCGUAAAGGAUGCGUAGGCGGAUUUUUAAGUGAGAUGUGAAAACCCUAAGCUUAACUUGGGGACUGCAUUUCAUACUGGAAAUCUAGAGUGCGGGAGAGGAGAAUGGAAUUCCUAGUGUAGCGGUGAAAUGCGUAGAGAUUAGGAAGAACACCAGUGGCGAAGGCGAUUCUCUGGACCGUAACUGACGCUGAGGCAUGAAAAGCGUGGGUAGCAAAACAGGAUUAGAUACCCCUGGUAGUCCACGCCGUAAACGAUGAGUACUAGGUGUAGGAGGUAUCGACCCCUUCUGUGCCGCAGUUAACACAAUAAGUACUCCGCCUGGGAAGUACGAUCGCAAGAUUAAAAACUC